This 420-nucleotide ribosomal RNA is filed under the name bacterium. RNAcentral's name for it is "partial 16S ribosomal RNA". It matches the Rfam family "Bacterial small subunit ribosomal RNA", at positions 355 to 776 of the family's 1533-position model. The record is from RNAcentral.
UGGGGGAUAUUGCACAAUGGGCGAAAGCCUGAUGCAGCGACGCCGCGUGGGGGAUGAAGGCUUUCGGGUUGUAAACCUCUUUCGCUAUCGAACAAGGCCCGCUUAGGGUGGGUUGAGGGUAGGUGGAGAAGAAGCGCCGGCUAACUACGUGCCAGCAGCCGCGGUAAUACGUAGGGCGCGAGCGUUGUCCGGAAUUAUUGGGCGUAAAGGGCUUGUAGGCGGAUUGUUGCGCCUGCUGUGAAAACGCGGGGCUUAACUUCGCGCGUGCAGUGGGUACGGGCAGGCUUGAGUGUGGUAGGGGUGACUGGAAUUCCAGGUGUAGCGGUGGAAUGCGCAGAUAUCUGGAGGAACACCGAUGGCGAAGGCAGGUCACUGGGCCAUUACUGACGCUGAGGAGCGAAAGCAUGGGUAGCGAACAGG